This 90-nucleotide non-coding RNA is filed under the name Kurthia senegalensis. Its description in RNAcentral is "Purine riboswitch". It matches the Rfam family "Purine riboswitch aptamer", at positions 6 to 95 of the family's 102-position model. From Rfam's summary of the family: Riboswitches are metabolite binding domains within certain messenger RNAs that serve as precision sensors for their corresponding targets. Allosteric rearrangement of mRNA structure is mediated by ligand binding, and this results in modulation of gene expression. A class of riboswitches that selectively recognises guanine and becomes saturated at concentrations as low as 5 nM. The record is from RNAcentral. Lineage: Bacteria; Bacillati; Bacillota; Bacilli; Caryophanales; Caryophanaceae.
AAUUAAAUAACGUCGUCGUAUAAGGUCGAGAAUAUGGCUCGAAAGUUUCUACCAAAUCACCGUAAAUGAUUUGACUACGAUUGAAGAAGU